AACUCAAACCUCCCUAAUGUUGUCAUGCUAACUCGCCAUCACGCCAUGCGGAUCACCCACAAUACCUUGCCAUGGACGACGAUGUCGUCGAUGCAACACGCAGACAACCAUCAAUGCCAUCUUGUCAAACAUUUUACUGAUGUCGCCGCUAGCCUUCAUGAGAUGGACACCUCCCAUUCCUUCACCUUCAUCACGAGCUUGCCGCCAUCGCACAUUCGUUGCCCCAUGUUUGUCACGAGUGCCUCAAUUCGUCGGUGACUCACCUUAUGUUCGCCACAGGCGCCGCAACUCGCCGGUUAUUCACCUCCAUGUUCUCGACGAUGACAGACCUUGUCGACGAAUCGCACAUGGAACUCCUCAUGGCAAUGGCCUCCGCUCCAUGGCCAUCACCUCCUUGUCGCCCGUGACACAACUUACCUGGCAACAUACCGUUCUCUAUCGCUCGUGACGAAGCUCGACGAUGAUCGAUGGAGACAUGCACCGGCCACUAGAAGCAUCGCACCUCCAUAGGCCGACACACGGCACGGAGCUUUGUGCGACCGCCGACAAAUGUCGCCAUCACUGGUGCGCCUCCGGCACAGCGAACCAUGCCCAAGACAACCAAGCUCUGAUAUCAAAUGUUGGCGUAGCCUUUCCCUCUCUCUCUCAUUGGACUCGAGGUAGAAGAAGUGAAGAUAAAACAUACUGGAUACACGUGUUUCCGGCGCUCCAACGCCAGCCGCAACGAACGGCUAAUCUUUCCUGCAGCUCGAACUGCUAGCCCCAUGUUACUACCAUCCAUGGCUAUGGGAUUUAUACCUAGCUGGAGCACAUACGACUCAGCCCACCCCGCCCCGCUGUGAUCUCACGAUCUGCAUGCCCGGUCGCUGCACGCUCCCACGACACGCACAUCGCGGCCGUUACAACAAACCACUGACCAAGCUAGCUAGCUAACCAAUACGGUUGCGCACCACGCCAAUCGUACAUGCACACACAUGCACGCCACGCUGCCAUGACCCAGCCCGCGGAUCCGACCUAACACACUGACGUUGGUCGCACCUGUCACGGAACCGACCCGACACACUCACGCCGGUCGCACCGGGCUCCGUCAUGGCUUAUUCCCAACAAUCACCCCCUAAUCGGUGACCUAGAGGAGUAACGGCCCGACGUCGUCGUCGAUGUCGCUUUGAACGCCCCCGCCCGAUGAUGUGACGUGCCGCCUGCUUGCCGUUGUCGGAGUUGAUGUUGCUACUCCCAUCUUCAUCGUCGCCACGACUGUGGACUCGACAUGGCGCGCUAACGCCGGUCGCCACCACCACUAACACGACCUGGCGUGCUGACGCCGGUCACCACCGCCGCAGACACGACAUAGCACGCCGACACCGGUCACCACCGCUGCGAACUCGCCGCCGAUCGUGGUCGUCGUGUGCUCGUCCCACACGUCCACCUCCGUCGCGCUCGUCAUCGACUCACCGCGUGUCGCCUCCGCAUCCACCAUGACAGUCGUCGUGUCGCACACCUCCACAUGCCGACACACGGCCUGGAGCUCCAUCGUGCAGCCGUCGAUGAACGCUGCCAUCGCCGGCACGCCUUCGGCAAGUCGAACGACGUCCAAGACCACCAAGCUCAUGAUACCAAAUGUUGGCGCUGCAAGGAGGCAGCGCCGCUGCUUCUUCUACCUCCCGUUGUCUCUCAUGACUCUCUCUUCUCUCAAGAGCACAAGAACACACACACGCACGCACACAACCAAAGCAGAUGACCAAGGGCUUUGCCCAGACCACUUCCUCGGUGAACAGAAAGACUACUCCGGCCAAGCUAACAAGUCAUGCAUGUACUAGCAAACUCAUUAACUAACUUGCCGAUUAUCCUCUAGCUAAUUUGCCUGAGCCACUCCAGCCAUCCAGCGCCUUGCCGAGUCGCACGACAAGCUGGAGAUUCACACGGCAGGCUGGAUCUCACAACUCCACGCCAUCAUGCCUCACCUGCAACACACAGUUGGUGGUAUCUCGUCUCCGUUGCGCGCUUAGCUGAGACCUCGCCGGACAAUUCGCUAAACUACAUCAACAGAAUGAAUACAAACAUGCAUAUACAUCAUGACAAAAUCAGUUAGCAUGACAACUCAUGCUAACUCGCCAAUACGUCAUGUGGAUCACCCGCAAUACCUUGCCGUGGACGACGAUGUUUUAGCAGCAUAUUUUCUCCCUAUUUUUUCACAGGGUUUGAAAGAGUUUUAGCAGCAUAUACUAUACUACUCCUCAUGUAUUUUUUCCACAGGGUUUUUGAAGGAGACUAUUUCAAGAUGAUGAAGAUGCUCAAGGACAAGUGUAGAUUAGGGGAAGUGUUAGAAUUUAAUUAAUUAAUGUAAUUAGUUAAAGUUAAUCUCUACUCGUAAACCGCACGUGGAUGUUCCCACGAUGUGGAACCAACGUAUUGUUCCUGGAGCGUCGCCUCCUUUCGAACCGUCUCAUCCUUUAGAUGCAUUCAUUCCCCUGUAUAUAAAUGUUCAAUCAUCAAUGGAAAAGGAUAGUUGAUUCAUUCACUUUCAAUACGUUAUCAGCACGCAUCCUACCAACAGAGCAUCGAGAUGGAGAGAAGGUAAGAUGGCAGGGAUGAACCUGCACAGAAUCGCCUCUGCUCUUGUUCGCUUCAUUGGAAAGGAAAUCCGUUGAUCUGCAAGAAGCCAUGGUAUUGGAGUUCGUCACCAUUGGGGAUCUGGCAACGGCCGCCGUGGUCGCCGUGGCCGCCGCAGUCGUUGUGGUCAUCACAACCACCCUGGCUCUGGCGCGGCAGACCAUGCAGGACCAAGCAACCCACCAUCGGCCGUCCACCAUGCCUAUGAGGCACCUCCGAUGCCAGCCUUCGUUUCCCCGCCGGCCUUUGUCGCUCCACAAAUGACUGGCUACUAGAGGACAUAGGAGGGGUCUUCUGUCCGGUGCACGGAUAUGGGCCGUGCCCUCCACCCCGGGCCACUCCACCACCGGAACCGGAGAUCGUUGAAGGGCCUACUUACCCGGAUCUCCCAACACUGACGCCUGCCGACGAAGAGCUCCUUGUGCCUCCAUGCUAUGACCCUAUGCCCGCCAUGGCAGUGUGGGAGGUAACACCGACGGAGGCGGACGAAGCCGGCGCCACCAUCCCCGACCUCAACACAGCCACCGGCAUGAAGAUCGAGGAUGGGGCGUCGUCACACAUAGUUGUUGCAUCUCUACCGCCUCAGCCCCCGGCAAGCCCACAAAAGCCACCACCGGCGGCUCGCCAGAUCCUUCGACGUUUCACGGCGGCGUUGGAGCGGCACUGCCCCGGCCUCCGCUCCGGAUCUUGAGCCCAUGCUGGCCUCCACCUUCCCGGCUGCACCGCGGGGGGACCGUCCUCCUCCUGAAGCUCGCCGGCGCGAGGCGCCAUCGGCGGUGGUGGAUACGGGAUUCGUGGGGGUGGCUAUGGAACGGGGGGGAAUUGACCCCAACAGCACCACCUCCCGUCCCUCUUAUCCGCUCAGCCAGCGGCGCCC
RNAcentral lists this long non-coding RNA (3487 nucleotides) under Hordeum vulgare. Its description in RNAcentral is "long non-coding RNA (HVUL_LNC012330)". Lineage: Eukaryota; Viridiplantae; Streptophyta; Magnoliopsida; Poales; Poaceae. The record is from RNAcentral.